AGACUCUGGCUCUCCUGGGGACCUGCUGGACCUGGGUGCGAUGAGUGGGCGGCCACGCUGGUUUGGCACGGGGAAGAAAGGGGGUGUGCCGACUUGACUUUAGUUGGGGGUUGGGGAAGUCACGGCUGGGGGAAAACCGUCCGGUGGUUUGUUGGUAAAGAGGGGCACCACUUUCAGAUAAAAACAUAGACCUGAAUGGCAUCAUCCAGUAUCCAAGGAAACCAUGUAGGAUUUUUCUCACCUUUGGAAAAAAUAAAUCUCUUACCAGAGAUAUGAAAAAUUCAGCUGAAUUUAUUUAUGGCCUUGGUAAAGGUCUUUUCAUGCUCUACAAUGGCAAUAUUUUUACAAAACCAACAGAUGAUCUAUCUAGGGAUGCCAGCAAGUGCUCUCAAGAGAAAAUGUAUUCUGUUUCAUCCAGGUUCAGGCUAAAUUGCUGGGACAGCUGCUUUCUUUGACCUCCUCUCGACUUUGCUGACCACAUCACCAACUGGCAGGGUGUGGUGCCUUAAGACCUUCCAAGAGACUUGCUUCCAAAUGGAAAUAAUGGAGUAACAUUUUGUAUGAUCAAACAUGAGAGAAUUCCAGUAAUUUUCAGCAUUUUAAGGUACAUUCAGCAUAUUGCUCAAAUGAUUAUUAAAAUUCUGAAUCUGAAAAGCAGUCGGUCCCACAUCGAAACUGCUUGUAAAAUACAUGAUUCAGAUGGUGGUCAUUGGUUAAUAAUAGCAACAGAGGAAGCCCUGGGAGCCAUCUAGUAGGGAACCCCUCUUCUUCCAGAAAGUAAUACACCAAAGCUAUUCUCUGUAGAAGACUGUUUUGUCUUUUCUUAGGAAAUGGAAAGAAAAGAAUUUUUAUUAUAUUCCUGUCUAUUGUCUUAUGGCUUUGAUAGCUAUUGAAUUAUUUGAACUAAAUCCUAUUAUUUGUAUUAGCCCCUUCUUUCUCAAACACACAUACUUACAAAUAUACACACAUGUUCACAAUAUAGUGGGGAAAACAAGCUUUCUUGUCGAUCUGUAUCAUUAGGAGGAAAAUUAUUUUUUCUGAUCAUAGGAGUACAGGUUUGUUUUUAUUUCAAAAUACUUAGAACUAGAACCAAAGUAGAGUUUGUUAGUGCCAAGAAGCAUUUCUCUUUCUUGAAUCAAGAGCCCAGUGCAUCAUUUUUGCCACUUUCAUUCUUUUAUUUCAUCAGCAACCUUCUUUUCAGCUACCAUGCAGCAAAAAAUGUUUGCAAGUAGCGUCUGGUGCUUCCAUGAGGUAUGCCUGGCUGCUCAGGGGGAAUGCAUGGGACAGAGGGAGGCUCUUUUCUACUCUGUAGCCGGCAGGACAAAUCACUGACAUCCUCUUAGAUAUUAGAGGGGAAUAUCCUGAGCUAUUCUGGAAUCUCAAAAGGACUAACAAAGUUCAUUCCAUUUGUCAUUGAAAUGUGACAGUGAUGUAGAACAAAACCUUUCCGCAGUGGGGGCUGGCUGCACCGAAUUCCUUUUGCAACAAGGAAAUUAGGUCAGAAGAAAUUUAGGUCAACACCUUACAGAGAUGUCCCCAUGCCUGAAAGGAGCCAGGAGAACUUAAAACAUUCCACACAGAAAGGUUAUUGUUUUUAUAUUUAAUUUGAAAAAUGGUACCUUCCAAAGCUUAGUGUCAUAUAAAUUCAGCUAUGAAUCAGCAAAGAAAAUUACCGUUUGCAUCACUAGCACUGCUUCUGAUAAAUCCAGGCACGAUCCUAAGGUGCUUCUAACCAAGCCCAGCCGACCCAGUUUAAUCAUGCAAUUCAAGACAUAUUUAUCAACUCUUGAUUAUGUACAAUUAAACUAUUAGAUAAUGUAAAGGUUGUAAAGAUUAAUAAGUACCUCCUCCCACUAAUCCCAUCUUUGCCAUAAGGAAGUUAUAAGCUAAGGAGGAGGAGAAGAUUAUGGGGUAAAUUAAAAUGCAAUAUAGCCUAUAAGUCAUUGAUUCAUUUGUCAUAGAGCAAAUGAACUCCUACUGUAUGCCGAAGACUAUGGAAGUGAUAUACAAGAGUUAAAGUAAGUGAUUCUGGAUGGAGAAGAGAGAGAUCAGGUUAGUUUGGGGUGGACAAAAAGGAAUAAUUUCUUUAAAAAAGGGCAGUUUAAAUGAACUUUAAAUGGAUAUAAUUUCAAAAGAUGGAGGUAGGUAAGAGGUCCCUGAGUGGAAGUGUUGGGAAGAGGGACACAGUGGGUGGGGAUGCCUGGACAAGGGGAGGCAAAGAGACCCCAUGGCUGAGAAUGUUAGGAGGAGAGAAAAGCAUGUGCAAUGGCAAAGGGGUAGACAAGAAUAUGCUGUAUUUGGGGAACAAAUGAUGACCCAUGUUGAUUAUAUUGACCACACAAGGCAGAAAUUGAAGUGGUUAGAAAGGAUAAGUCAGAAUCCUAUUUAGACAUGCCUUGAAUACCAGGCUGGAGAGUUGCAUGAGUGCGGUGAGCCAUCCUGUGGCUCCGUGGAAAGGAUUCUGGUGACUUGGAUGGCCCUUCCGACCAGUCAAGAUGGCUGAAUACAGGUUAGCAAAGUUAUUCCAUAAAUCCUAAACCAUUGUUCUGGAAUGUCUUUAGAUAUGAAGUGACUUGAUCAACAUCUCUGCUGUCAGUAUUGAAUGUAUAUUUCUUAAGCGAAACAAGUGGAAUUUUACUAAAUCCGCUUUUUAAAGUAUCCCAACUGAAGUCUAAUUUGGCAUUUGGCCAGUUUAAACAAAAAAAUGAAUGAGAAAUAUAAAAAAUGAGUACGGUUUUUAUUUUCAUUGGUUAUGUGACCACCUUCUCACUACAUACAUCAGUUAGCAAAGUCU
Molecule: long non-coding RNA, 2794 nt
Organism: Macaca mulatta (Rhesus monkey)
Lineage: Eukaryota; Metazoa; Chordata; Mammalia; Primates; Cercopithecidae
Source: Ensembl